UACGGAGGGUGCAAGCGUUACUCGGAAUCACUGGGCGUAAAGCGCGCGCAGGCGGUCUUUUAAGUUGGAUGUGAAAGCCUACGGCUCAACCGUAGAACUGCAUCCAAAACUAUUAGACUAGAGUGUGGGAGAGGAAGAUGGAAUUAGUUGUGUAGGGGUAAAAUCCGUAGAGAUAACUAGGAAUACCAAAAGCGAAGGCAAUCUUCUGGAACACUACUGACGCUGAGGCGCGAAAGCGUGGGGAGCAAACAGGAUUAGAUACCCUGGUAGUCCACGCAGUAAACGAUGAAUGUUAGUCGUCGGGGGCCUAGUGUCUUCGGUGAUGCAGCUAACGCAUUAAACAUUCCGCCUGGGGAGUACGGUCGCAAGAUUAAAACUCAAAGGAAUAGACGGGGACCCGCACAAGUGGUGGAGCAUGUGGUUUAAUUCGAAGAUACGCGAAGAACCUUACCUAGCCUUGACAUAUAUUAGAAUCACCCAGAGAUGGGAGAGUGCCUUCGGGAGCUUUUAUACAGGUGCUGCACGGCUGUCGUCAGCUCGUGUCGUGAGAUGUUGGGUUAAGUCCCGCAACGAGCGCAACCCUCGUCACUAGUUACUAACGGUUCGGCCGAGGACUCUAGUGAGACUGCCUUCGCAAGGAGGAGGAAGGUGAGGACGACGUCAAGUCAUCAUGGCCCUUACGGCUAGGGCAACACACGUGCUACAAUGGCCAGGACAGUGAGACGCGAUACCGCGAGGUGGAGCAAAUCUAUAAACCUGGUCUCAGUUCGGAUUGUAGUCUGCAACUCGACUACAUGAAGCUGGAAUCACUAGUAAUCGUAGAUCAGCUAUGCUACGGUGAAUACGUUCCCGGGUC
Molecule: ribosomal RNA, 856 nt
Filed under: uncultured bacterium
Lineage: Bacteria
Description: bacterial SSU rRNA
Rfam family: Bacterial small subunit ribosomal RNA
Source: RNAcentral